GUUCAUUAUCCUAAUUGCCUGUCUGCAUUUAGCUUAUUUUCUGAAGACUUUAAAGGAAAACAUUACAUUAUUUAUUGAUUUAUAUCUAAGCUCAGAAUUUAUUUUUUUUUCAAGAUGCUGGGUGUCAGGACAAAACAACAGUGAAUAAUGAAAGGCAGUUUGCUGUGAAAUUACAUUUAUGUUAAGCCAUAUAUAUACUGACUUCAAAGGCAGUGGCUGUCCUUCUGAAGAUGAAGCACUGCAAAGGAACUGACAGUGCUGAGAUCUGAGAGUACAUCUUGUGUUGGUACAGAUUGCCACCCUUGGUUAGUGCACAAAGAAUUGCACCUCUUCCAGACUCUGGGAAGGACUGAAUAUUUUGUGACAGCUGUUCGCCUGUACAGUUGCACUUGUGUCAUCUGUUUUUUCAGGUCUAAAGAUUUGAUUGCUGUGAUGAGAAUAUGAAAAUGAACAUUAUAAAUUGAAAGCUAUCAGAGAUGGUCAGAAUGAGAAAAGCGCUGAUAUAGAAAAAUGUAACAGGCACACAGAAUUGGAAGACCUCUGAGCAUAGCUCAUACCAUGCCUAAGAAAUAUCUUCUUGGUUGCUAUUA
RNAcentral lists this long non-coding RNA (590 nucleotides) under Phasianus colchicus (ring-necked pheasant). Its description in RNAcentral is "lncRNA (ENSPCLG00000006350.1)". Lineage: Eukaryota; Metazoa; Chordata; Aves; Galliformes; Phasianidae. The record is from RNAcentral.